UUUAUUAUUGCUCUUGUAUUGUUGUUAUCCUCUAGUAUAUUUACUGUUCCUUGUGAUCAAGGAACCCUUUCCUGUAGCACUUCUAUUUCCUUGACCUCAUUCUCUUUCCCGCAGAAUCUAUUUCUGUAAUUAAAUAUCUCAUGAGCCAUCCUCAUCUGAUGUCUAAGUCUGGUGCCUCUGAAUAUUUUCUAGACUGGAGCAAAUUAUUGUAUAAGAAUUCCUGAAGAAAUUUGAAAUACGCUCAGCAUUAGACCAUCGUAUUUGUGGAUAGUUUCCUAUCAAGUCGAGGUCUCACAAAUGUUAUCCGGGGACCAGCAUACCUAAUUUCACUAGGAGAAGGCUUUCUGUGAUGACCUGUGUCAUAAAGAUUGUCACAUCCUCACUGAAGACUGGGAAAGGAGACCUGGCAAAUC
Molecule: long non-coding RNA, 413 nt
Filed under: Bos taurus (domestic cattle)
Lineage: Eukaryota; Metazoa; Chordata; Mammalia; Artiodactyla; Bovidae
Description: long non-coding RNA NONBTAT020226
Source: RNAcentral